Molecule: long non-coding RNA, 2107 nt
Filed under: Equus asinus (donkey)
Lineage: Eukaryota; Metazoa; Chordata; Mammalia; Perissodactyla; Equidae
Description: lncRNA (ENSEASG00005028721.1)
Source: RNAcentral
UACAUGGAACAGAACAUUAUUUUUUCUGCUCAACAAUUGAUGUCUUGAGUUGCUGCUUCUGUCUCCUGGACCCCAGUGAAGGGGGGUGGGGUAGGAAGCGGUAUCUGUUUUUUUUCUCUACUUCAAGAAACCGAGCACCCCGAGGAAGAUUGCUGGGGCUCCUAUCAUAGGCUCCAUCUUGGGGCCCCCAGCUGCAGGCUAGGCUGAUGGAAUCAAUUUGUUCCUAAGUGGUAAAUGCAUCAUAUGAAAAGUAGAAUGGCCUACCCACAAUUUGAGUUCAUUCAUUGGAAACAUAGAUUGUUGUUAAAUGUUCUUAAACUGGAAGAAGCUUGGUUUGUGUUUCAGUGGUUUUUUUUCCAUGUUGGUAGAUAGUGUUAAAUUUUGUCCAAGUUGGGGUGAGGGGUGGUGGCCGCAGUGGCAAAUGGGGAUAUUAAAUAUCAUUUCGAGGGCUGGUGUGAACAUACAUCUUAACUGUUGGCAGUGAUGAAGGGGACUUUGUUGGGGGUGAGUGUUGGUCUUGCCUAGCAUUAAUACUCAAAUAUGUGUGUUUGAGGCCGUGAAGCACUCGGGAGUGUUUUAAUGACGUUACUCAGGAGAAAGCAGCUUUUUCUUAAAAUUCCCUACUUGGAACCUUGCAUGUCUGCAGGUGGUGUCCUCCCCACCCUGUCAGGUCUUGGAUAAGUAUUGGUCAUGGUCGUUGGCCUGAUCUCUAAUCUGUAUUCAUAGCCAUUUCUUCUUAUAGUAGCACUGUUUGUCCUAAAUGUGUUUUUCUAGAAAAUGACCACUAGUUUAAAAACCCUCGAUUCUGAGGUUUGCCCAGAGGCACUUGUUCUGGGAUUGCCCCUCCCGCUUCAGCCGUGCCCUCAUCACUUUCCUGCAGCGAUUGCUUGGAAUGGUAGGCUAAACCUGCUGCUGCCCCCCACACAGUGUCCCAGGCUAAGAUUUGGGAGCUGUGGCCAACCUCGUCAAAUAGGGAAGAGAAGCUCAACUUGUAAGCACAAAGGAGAGACUUCUUACUAAGCGGUGCCCCUCUAGCUGGUUGUAACUGACAUGCCAACUAUGGAAGGGCGCAGACUGGAAGAGGGUGCCUUUCUUUUGUGCUCACGCUCUGGUUAAACAAAAGUGGUCUUUGCUGAAGCAGGCAUUUCGUUCUGAAGAGACUCAAGGCCACUUGGCCCAUUAGCUGCUUGCGGAAAGACUACUACUUUACGGUUUUCACCCCAUCACAAGAUUGCUCCUUAAAGGAAUGAUGCUCUGUAGCUUCUCUGAGAUGCUACAAGCGGCGUGGUGUCACCACCGAAGACUUUGGCUUAGCUUGAUUUCUGGACCCACAGUAUGUGUUCUUGCAAUGCCAACCUGUGAACUUUUUUUUUUAAUCAAAAAGAGCACUGCUUUCUCUAACCGCUUCUCUCUCUACCAAGCCCUUAACCCCAUUCUUGAAUGAUGUUUUAUCCUUUGGAAAGAACAAGGCUGUGAUGUAGGAACUAUUGUCUGUGUCUCCUGUAUGUCUGUUCUUGUCACAAAUGUAUUUGGGGACGUUGGAUGCAUUCAUUUUCUGUAAUAAAGUUUCUUAAUCAGUCUUCCCAAAAAGUAAUCAGUGGGCUGUCUGCAAUCUUUUUGAGAUACUGAGCCUCUGUAUUUUGGGUUGAUUAUAAUCAAGGUUUUAGAAGUUCAGCCUUCGCUGUGACCAUAGACCUAUCGUCUAAUGGAAAGAUACCAUCAAAAAGGGCAAGUGUUAAGGACUGCAAAGCCCCUAGAUCAACCCUUCAGCCAGAGGAGUAGGGGGAAGUUGGCUCUGGAGCUGUAUGCCAGGAUAAAUAUGCAAUUUGCAGAAUGCUAAUGAACUGCUCUUGAUACAGUGGCUGGGUCCUUGUAAUCAGCCAGCCCUGCCAACCAGGGCUCCCUGAGGCUGAGGGUCGGGGCUUAGUUGGCUGACAGAGCCAGGCCCAACAAGGAGUUCUGGAUGAGAGCCAUGGGGUCCACUUGCUCUUGGCUUCUGGUUUUCUGUGGAGUCCAGGACUACUUGGGAGGGAAUGGCUGGCAGGCUGGCUUAGUAGCCCCAGGCUUCCUUUCCUGCUUCAACCAGAGCAACAACCCCCCCCCCCCC